This 22-nucleotide microRNA is filed under the name Aedes aegypti (yellow fever mosquito). Its description in RNAcentral is "aae-miR-306-5p". Its record names the gene aae-miR-306-5p. The record is from miRBase by way of RNAcentral. Lineage: Eukaryota; Metazoa; Arthropoda; Insecta; Diptera; Culicidae. RNAcentral also lists the same sequence under 1 other name.
UCAGGUACUGAGUGACUCUCAG